CACAACAAUUUCCUGUUCAGCUUUACUCUGUGAGCAAAAGCAGAGACCGAGGUUGGCAAGCAGUAAUGGGAGAGCCGGGGCUCUCCCCCAGCCCCCAGAGAGCCUGCUUUCUCCUGCCCUGCUCUCGGCAUAAGCCGCUUCAGCCACGGGGUGAUCCUCUUGAAUCGCUUUUUAACCGAGUCAAGAAGACUUCUAUGGCAACAGCCUUGUUUGUGUCCUCGCUCCAGACUUUGCUGCUGAUCACCCACAGCCUUUUGGUUCCCCUGUCCGUGUUACAACGCAGCAGGAAGACUCAGAGGACACAUAGUGAGGCACCAAACCCUGUUGAGACCAGCAACUAAGGACUAAAAUGCCUUUUGUUUGGUGGAAGCUGUUCUGGGCCAUGGUCCUGGCUCUUGACAGUUUGUACAAACCAAGUGACUUCCUUCUCUCCAGCCCUCUGCUGAAGUUCAGGAUCUCUCCUAUGUCUCCUGCCUUCUCUCAUGCCACUCUUGGGCCUCUCAGCAGUCACAGAACAUCUUCUUCCAGUUCCAGCUAUCCAUAGCUGUGGAUUUAACAACUGUUUCUACAACCCAGUAACAGCAAUAAAUAUUUAUACUGGGUUAGCA
This 608-nucleotide long non-coding RNA is filed under the name Cyanistes caeruleus (blue tit). Its description in RNAcentral is "lncRNA (ENSCCEG00000014203.1)". Lineage: Eukaryota; Metazoa; Chordata; Aves; Passeriformes; Paridae. The record is from RNAcentral.